This 109-nucleotide non-coding RNA is filed under the name Escherichia coli. RNAcentral describes it as "iscR stability element". It matches the Rfam family "iscR stability element". The record is from RNAcentral. Lineage: Bacteria; Pseudomonadati; Pseudomonadota; Gammaproteobacteria; Enterobacterales; Enterobacteriaceae. RNAcentral also lists the same sequence under 1 other name.
AACAAGAUAUUAGAAUCAGGCCGGGGCGUAUCGCGCUCCGUAAACACGGUCGUACAUCCAGCCGGUAGCCUGAUUCCUUGCAUUGAGUGAUGUACGGAGUUUAUAGAGC